AACGAACGCUGGCGGCAUGCCUAACACAUGCAAGUCGAACGAGACCUUCGGGUCUAGUGGCGCACGGGUGCGUAACGCGUGGGAACCUGCCCUUAGGUUCGGAAUAACUCCCCGAAAGGGGUGCUAAUACCGGAUAAUGUCUUCGGCCCAAAGAUUUAUCGCCUUUGGAUGGGCCCGCGUUGGAUUAGCUAGUUGGUAGGGUAAAAGCCUACCAAGGCGACGAUCCAUAGCUGGUCUGAGAGGAUGAUCAGCCACACUGGGACUGAGACACGGCCCAGACUCCUACGGGAGGCAGCAGUGGGGAAUAUUGGACAAUGGGCGAAAGCCUGAUCCAGCAAUGCCGCGUGAGUGAUGAAGGCCUUAGGGUUGUAAAGCUCUUUUACCCGGGAUGAUAAUGACAGUACCGGGAGAAUAAGCUCCGGCUAACUACGUG
Molecule: ribosomal RNA, 433 nt
Filed under: uncultured bacterium
Lineage: Bacteria
Description: partial 16S ribosomal RNA
Rfam family: Bacterial small subunit ribosomal RNA
Source: RNAcentral